AACUUAAAACCUUAUAUAUCCUUCCGAAAAAAAAAUUCCAAACUUCAAUAAUUUAUAUCUCAUGAUCUAACUAUCCAAACAAUCUAAAAUUGUACAUAAAAUAUUGAUAUAUUUUUAACAACUAUUCAAACAAAUUUCAACUACAAAUUUAUUACAAAUCUUGAGAUAUCGCCAAAACUCUAACAAUAACUUCAAACCCUUGCUUACAUAUACCCACAUGUAAAUUUUUUUAUAUCUCACAAAUUAAGUACUCAAAUACCAUGAAACUUUGAUUUAUAGAUUUUUAAUCUAAUAACAUACACUUAUAGAAAUUUUAAGCCAAAAAUUCGUCCAAAAACUCAAGAUAUGGCUCCAAUCGUUACUAUCAACAAAACAACUCA
Molecule: long non-coding RNA, 380 nt
Filed under: Physcomitrium patens
Lineage: Eukaryota; Viridiplantae; Streptophyta; Bryopsida; Funariales; Funariaceae
Description: long non-coding RNA (PPAT_LNC007966)
Source: RNAcentral